GGAAGUAAAAGUCGUAAUAAGGUUUCCGUAGGUGAACCUGCGGAAGGAUCAUUCAUAAUAAGUGUUCUACUGCACUUUUUAAAAAUAGUACUCACCUUGUGUGCAAUGUUUGUUAGACUCUUUCGGGAGCCUGACAUUUAUACCAACCUUUUAUAUUUUGAACCACUUUGUCUGAAAAAUAUUAUGAAUACUUAAUUCUAAAUACAACUUUCAACAACGGAUCUCUUGGCUCUC
Molecule: unclassified non-coding RNA, 234 nt
Filed under: plant metagenome
Description: partial contains small subunit ribosomal RNA, internal transcribed spacer 1, and 5.8S ribosomal RNA
Rfam family: Eukaryotic small subunit ribosomal RNA (bases 1-54)
Source: RNAcentral